Molecule: small RNA, 1723 nt
Filed under: Pan troglodytes (chimpanzee)
Lineage: Eukaryota; Metazoa; Chordata; Mammalia; Primates; Hominidae
Description: retained intron
Source: RNAcentral
GGACUACUAGGACGCACGCGCGAGAUAGAACCUCUAGUCUCGUGGAGAGAUUGAAGAUGGCGGCUUCUCAGGCGGUGGAGGAAAUGCGGAGCCGCGUGGUUCUGGGGGAGUUUGGAGUUCGCAAUGUCCAUACUACUGACUUUCCCGGUAACUAUUCCGGUUAUGAUGAUGCCUGGGACCAGGACCGCUUCGAGAAGAAUUUCCGUGUGGAUGUAGUACACAUGGAUGAAAACUCACUGGAGUUUGACAUGGUGGGAAUUGACGCAGCCAUUGCCAAUGCUUUUCGACGAAUUCUGCUAGCUGAGGUGCCAACUAUGGCUGUGGAGAAGGUCCUGGUGUACAAUAAUACAUCCAUUGUUCAGGAUGAGAUUCUUGCUCACCGUCUGGGGCUCAUUCCCAUUCAUGCAGAUCCCCGUCUUUUUGAGUACCGGAACCAAGGUGAGAAAAUGAAAUUUUGGGAGAAGUGGACUAUCUGGGUUCAAAUCCUGGUUGACUGUGAUGUUGGGUAAGUUACUUAUCUUUGUACAUCAGUGUUUUUCAUCUGUGAGAACACUUGCCUUGUCUCCCAAGUUUGCCAUAAUUAAAUGGGAAACACGUAAAGCAUUCAGCAUAGUGCUGGCACUCAGACGUUUACUAGUUCUUAGGAGCUCCCUCCAUUUGUGCAGGAGAUGAAGAAGGCACAGAGAUAGAUACUCUACAGUUUCGUCUCCAAGUCAGAUGCACUCGGAACCCCCAUGCUGCUAAAGAUUCCUCUGACCCCAACGAACUGUACGUGAACCACAAAGGUGAGUAGUGGUAGGGUGAGGAAGAGGCCCCACCUGUGGGUAGCUGCUAGUUUUAGGGACUGAGAUCUUCUGACAUGUUUUUCCUCCAGUGUAUACCAGGCAUAUGACAUGGAUCCCCCUGGGGAACCAGGCUGAUCUCUUUCCAGAGGGCACUAUCCGACCAGUGCACGAUGAUAUCCUCAUCGCUCAGCUGCGGCCUGGCCAAGAAAUUGACCUGCUCAUGCACUGUGUCAAGGGCAUUGGCAAAGAUCAUGCCAAGUUUUCACCAGUGGCAACAGCCAGUUACAGGCUCCUGCCAGACAUCACCCUGCUUGAGCCCGUGGAAGGGGAGGCAGCUGAGGAGUUGAGCAGGUGCUUCUCACCUGGUGUUAUUGAGGUGCAGGAAGUCCAAGGUAAAAAGGUGGCCAGAGUUGCCAACCCCCGGCUGGAUACCUUCAGCAGAGAAAUCUUCCGGAAUGAGAAGCUAAAGAAGGUUGUGAGGCUUGCCCGGGUUCGAGAUCAUUAUAUCUGUGAGUAUGAAGUGGUGAGAUGAGUGGGCAGUGCUCUUUGGUGCUGCAGCUUCCUUCCAGUCUAGAUGUGAAGUUUAUGAGUAAGUUUUACAGGCAAGCCCUGCCUAGACUAAAGUGUCUCUUUGGUCCCCAGUCUCUGUUGAGUCAACGGGGGUGUUGCCACCAGAUGUGCUGGUGAGUGAAGCCAUCAAAGUACUGAUGGGGAAGUGCCGGCGCUUCUUGGAUGAACUAGAUGCGGUUCAGAUGGACUGAGCUUGGAUGCUUCUGAGGCAAGCUGAAGCUUUGGGUUCUGACUGACCCACCCUACAGGACUGCUGAACAGAGCCCAGUGUGACUAGGGAUCCUGAGUUUUCUGGGACAAUUCCAGCUUUAAUCAAUACAUUUUGUUAAAUGUGCCAUAAAAUGAGACUUUUUACGCCUUUAUAAGGC